This 253-nucleotide ribosomal RNA is filed under the name uncultured bacterium. RNAcentral's name for it is "partial 16S ribosomal RNA". It matches the Rfam family "Bacterial small subunit ribosomal RNA", at positions 524 to 776 of the family's 1533-position model. The record is from RNAcentral.
UACGAAGGGUGCAAGCGUUGCUCGGAAUUAUGGUGCGUAAAGGGUAGGUAGGUGGUCUCAUUUGUCCGGGGUGAAAGCCUUGAGCUUAACUCAAGAAGUGCCUCGGAAACGGUGAGACUAGAGUCUUGGAGAGGGUCGUGGAAUUCCCGGUGUAGCGGUGAAAUGCGUAGAUAUCGAGAGGAACACCAGUGGCGAAGGCGAGCCCCUGGACAACACCUGACACUGAGGCACGAAAGCCGGGGGAGCAAACAGG